GAGUUUGAUCCUGGCUCAGAACGAACGCUGGCGGCAUGCCUCAUACAUGCAAGUCGAACGAAGCCUUCGGGCUUAGUGGCGAACGGGUGCGUAACGCGUGGGAACCUGCCCUUAGGUCCGGAAUAACAGUUAGAAAUGACUGCUAAUGCCGGAUAAUGUCUUCGGACCAAAGAUUUAUCGCCUUUGGAUGGGCCCGCGUAGGAUUAGGUAGUUGGUGUGGUAAUGGCGCACCAAGCCGACGAUCCUUAGCUGGUCUGAGAGGAUGAUCAGCCACACUGGGACUGAGACACGGCCCAGACUCCUACGGGAGGCAGCAGUAGGGAAUAUUGGACAAUGGGCGAAAGCCUGAUCCAGCAAUGCCGCGUGAGUGAUGAAGGCCUUAGGGUUGUAAAGCUCUUUUACCAGGGAUGAUAAUGACAGUACCUGGAGAAUAAGCUCCGGCUAACUCCGUGCCAGCAGCCGCGGUAAUACGGAGGGAGCUAGCGUUGUUCGGAAUUACUGGGCGUAAAGCGCGCGUAGGCGGCUAUCCAAGUCAGGGGUGAAAUCCCGGGGCUCAACCCCGGAACUGCCCUUGAAACUAGGUGGCUAGAAUACUGGAGAGGUGAGUGGAAUUCCGAGUGUAGAGGUGAAAUUCGUAGAUAUUCGGAAGAACACCAGUGGCGAAGGCGACUCACUGGACAGUUAUUGACGCUGAGGUGCGAAAGCGUGGGGAG
This 713-nucleotide ribosomal RNA is filed under the name uncultured bacterium. Its description in RNAcentral is "bacterial SSU rRNA". It matches the Rfam family "Bacterial small subunit ribosomal RNA", at positions 9 to 768 of the family's 1533-position model. The record is from RNAcentral.